Molecule: non-coding RNA, 586 nt
Organism: Arachis ipaensis
Lineage: Eukaryota; Viridiplantae; Streptophyta; Magnoliopsida; Fabales; Fabaceae
Source: RefSeq, a predicted model, not a curated record
CCCGGGUUUCUCCCAGAACCUUCGUAUCUCUUCUCUGUCUCCCUCUCUUCUCUUCGCACUCUCUCUUCUCUCCAGUAAAGAAGACGAAGAAGCUUCCUCCACGGCGCCCUGUCACCACAUCAUUCGUUGCGCGCCUCACCCAGCCGAGGAGAACGUUGUCGUGUCAGAGGGCGUCGCCGUCUUCCUCGUUCAUCAUCACCGUCGUGAGCCUCUCCCUUCCGGAAUAUUAUGGGGUGUGAGUGGUGCACUGGUGAAGGCUAAGUUCAAGAAUGGUGGAAGUGGUGCCGAGUUAUGGUUCGCUUGCAUGGUUUGACCUGUAGGCAUGUGAAUUCGAUGGUUCUUAGCUCGGCUCAACCAUCGUGGAUUAGGAAGGGCAGGGUUGUUUAAAUGGAUGCCAUUUGGAACUCUUAUUGCCAAUGUAUCAGCUGCUUGUGUAAUGGCUGCACUUUCCACCGUAAAGGAAGCAGUCAAUACCAAAGAUUGUGACACUAUUGUAAUCGCAACAGUCCUUUUCUAUCGUUGAUUGCUUUCUAAAUCAAAUGUAUGGAUUUGUAUAUGAAGACUUCUUUUUGUUUUCUUUCAACUC